GAUGAACGCUGGCGGCGUGCCUAAUACAUGCAAGUCGAGCGAACGGACGAGAAGCUUGCUUCUCUGAUGUUAGCGGCGGACGGGUGAGUAACACGUGGAUAACCUACCUAUAAGACUGGGAUAACUUCGGGAAACCGGAGCUAAUACCGGAUAAUAUUUUGAACCGCAUGGUUCAAAAGUGAAAGACGGUCUUGCUGUCACUUAUAGAUGGAUCCGCGCUGCAUUAGCUAGUUGGUAAGGUAACGGCUUACCAAGGCAACGAUGCAUAGCCGACCUGAGAGGGUGAUCGGCCACACAGGAACUGAGACACGGUCCAGACUCCUACGGGAGGCAGCAGUAGGGGAUCUUCCGCAAUGGGCGAAAGCCUGACGGAGCAACGCCGCGUGAGUGAUGAAGGUCUUCGGAUCGUAAAACUCUGUUAUUAGGGAAGAACAUAUGUGUAAGUAACUGUGCACAUCUUGACGGUACCUAAUCAGAAAGCCACGGCUAACUACGUG
Molecule: ribosomal RNA, 497 nt
Filed under: uncultured bacterium
Lineage: Bacteria
Description: partial 16S ribosomal RNA
Rfam family: Bacterial small subunit ribosomal RNA
Source: RNAcentral